GGGGAAUUAGCUCAGCUGGGAGAGCGCUUGAAUGGCAUUCAAGAGGUCAGGGGUUCGAUCCCCCUAUUCUCCA
This 73-nucleotide transfer RNA is filed under the name Levyella massiliensis. RNAcentral's name for it is "tRNA-Ala". It matches the Rfam family "tRNA". From Rfam's summary of the family: Transfer RNA (tRNA) molecules are approximately 80 nucleotides in length. RNAcentral also lists the same sequence under 8 other names. Lineage: Bacteria; Bacillati; Bacillota; Clostridia; Eubacteriales. The record is from RNAcentral.